RNAcentral lists this ribosomal RNA (433 nucleotides) under uncultured bacterium. RNAcentral's name for it is "partial 16S ribosomal RNA". It matches the Rfam family "Bacterial small subunit ribosomal RNA", at positions 29 to 507 of the family's 1533-position model. The record is from RNAcentral.
AACGAACGCUGGCGGCAGGCCUAACACAUGCAAGUCGAGCGAGGACUUCGGUUCUAGCGGCGGACGGGUGAGUAACGCGUGGGAACGUGCCCUUUGCUUCGGAAUAGCCCUGGGAAACUGGGAGUAAUACCGGAUGAGCCCUUUGGGGGAAAGAUUUAUCGGCGAAGGAUCGGCCCGCGUUGGACUAGGUAGUUGGUAGGGUAAUGGCCUACCAAGCCGACGAUCCAUAGCUGGUCUGAGAGGAUGAUCAGCCACACUGGGACUGAGACACGGCCCAGACUCCUACGGGAGGCAGCAGUGGGGAAUAUUGGAGAAUGGGCGAAAGCCUGAUCCAGCCAUGCCGCGUGAGUGAUGAAGGGCUUAGGGUUGUAAAGCUCUUUUACCCGGGAUGAUAAUGACAGUACCGGGAGAAUAAGCGCCGGCUAACUCCGUG